RNAcentral lists this long non-coding RNA (550 nucleotides) under Homo sapiens (human). Its description in RNAcentral is "long non-coding RNA NONHSAT150961.1". Lineage: Eukaryota; Metazoa; Chordata; Mammalia; Primates; Hominidae. The record is from RNAcentral.
CGCAAUCUGUGAGGACAGGGACCCCCCAGCCACGCAGCCCCAGGAGACCCAGGGCCCCCCGGCCAGGCCCAUCACUGUCCAGCCCACUGAAGCCUGGCCCAGAACCUCACAGGGACCCUCCACCCGGCCCGUGGAGGUCCCCGGGGGCCGUGCGGUUGCCGCCAUCCUGGGCCUGGGCCUGGUGCUGGGGCUGCUGGGCCCCCUGGCCAUCCUGCUGGCCCUGUACCUGCUCCGGAGGGACCAGAGGCUGCCCCCCGAUGCCCACAAGCCCCCUGGGGGAGGCAGUUUCCGGACCCCCAUCCAAGAGGAGCAGGCCGACGCCCACUCCACCCUGGCCAAGAUCUGACCUGGGCCCACCAAGGUGGACGCUGGGCCCCGCCAGGCUGGAGCCCGGAGGGUCUGCUGGGCGAGCAGGGCAGGUGCAGGCCGCCUGCCCCGCCACGCUCCUGGGCCAACUCUGCACCGUUCUAGGUGCCGAUGGCUGCCUCCGGCUCUCUGCUUACGUAUGCCAUGCAUACCUCCUGCCCCGCGGGACCACAAUAAAAACCUU